Molecule: ribosomal RNA, 457 nt
Filed under: uncultured bacterium
Lineage: Bacteria
Description: partial 16S ribosomal RNA
Rfam family: Bacterial small subunit ribosomal RNA
Source: RNAcentral
CCUACGGGGGGCAGCAGUGGGGAAUAUUGCACAAUGGGGGAAACCCUGAUGCAGCGACGCCGCGUGAGUGAAGAAGUAUUUCGGUACGUAAAGCUCUAUCAGCAGGGAAGAAAAAAAGUCCUUUGGACUUUGGACGGUACCUGACCAAGAAGCCCCGGCUAAAUACGGGCCAGCAGCCGCGGUAAUACGUAGGGGGCAAGCGUUAUCCGGAUUUACUGGGUGUAAAGGGAGCGUAGAAGGCCGCGCAAGUCUGGAGUGAAAUGCCGGGGCCCAACCCCGGAACUGCCUUUGAAACUGGGCAGCUUGAGUGGGAGAGAGGUAAGCGGAAUUCCUAGUGUAGCGGUGAAAUGCGUAGAUAUUAGGAGGAACACCAGGGGCGAAGGCGGCUUACUGGACUGUAACUGACGUUGAGGCUCGAAAGCGUGGGGAGCAAACAGGAUUAGAUACCCGGGUAGUC